UAAAUUUUAUUUAUUAAUUUUAUUUAUUUAAGUAUUAUAUUUAAUAAAAAUAAUUUUAAUUCAGUAUAGUUUUAGUAUUUUUUAAAGAAAUAAUAAUUUUAAUAAUAGUUUAUUUGUAUUGUAAAAGAAGAUUGAAAUAAUUUGAAAAAUUUUUAUUUUAAAAGAAAAUUUAAUUUAUUGUACCUUGUGUAUCAGGGUUUAUUAAUUAAUUAAUUAUUAUAGUAAUUUUUCUCGAAUUUUAAAGAUUUAAUUAUAUAUAAAAGUUAUUGUGGAAUAAUUAUUUUUAAUAUAUAAUUAGAAAUGAAAUGUUAAUCGUUUUAAAAUAUAUCUAGUUUUUUAAGAAAUAAAUUUAAUUUAGAUUUAUAAAUUAAAAGUAUUAUUUAUUUAAUAUUUUUAAUUUAUAAAAUUAAUAUUUUAAGGGAUUAGCUUUAAAAUAAAUUUUUAAAUUUUAAAAAAGUAUUUAAUAAAUGUAAGCUUAAAAAUAGUUAUCAUUAAUAAAUUUGUUAUAAUUUAUUUUAAAUUUUUUAUUAUUUAUUAUAAAAUUAAAUUAUUUAUUAAAAUAUAAAUUUUAAUAUUAAUGAUUUAUAAAUUAUGGUAAAAUUAGUAUAUUUAAUUUAUAUAAAUUAUUUAAAUUGAGAGGUUUAAAUAAGGAAUUCGGCAAAUUAUAUAUUCACCUGUUUAUCAAAAACAUGUCUUUUUGUAUUUAAUUUAAAGUCUAACCUGCCCACUGAUAGAUAUUAAAGGGCCGCAGUAUUUUGACUGUGCGAAGGUAGCAUAAUCAGUAGUCUUUUAAUUGAAGGCUUGUAUGAAUGGUUGAAUGAGAUAUAUACUGUCUUUUUUAAAUUUUUAUAGAAUUUUAUUUUUUAAUUAAAAAGUUAAAAUAUAAUUAAAAGACGAGAAGACCCUAUAGAUCUUUAUUUUUUUUAAUUAUAAGUUAAAAAGAAUAAUUAAAUUUAUAGUUUUAUAAAAAAUUUUACUGGGGUGGUAUUAAAAUUUAAUUAACUUUUAUUAUUUGUUUACAUUAAUAUAUGUAUAUUUGAUCCAAUUUUAUUGAUUAAAAAAUUAAGUUACCUUAGGGAUAACAGCGUAAUUUUUUUUUAGAGUUCUUAUCGACAAAAAAGAUUGCGACCUCGAUGUUGGAUUAAGAAUUAUUUUUAGGUGUAGAAGUUUAAAGUUUAGGUCUGUUCGACCUUUGAAUUCUUACAUGAUCUGAGUUCAAACCGGCGUAAGCCAGGUUGGUUUCUAUCUUUAAUAAAUUAUUAUAUUAUAGUACGAAAGGACCUAAUAUAAAAAAUAUAAAUUUUAAAUUUAUGAAUUAUAUUAAUAUUUAAUAA
This 1334-nucleotide ribosomal RNA is filed under the name Aedes albopictus (Asian tiger mosquito). Its description in RNAcentral is "16S ribosomal RNA". The stretch from base 1078 to 1237 matches the Rfam family "Archaeal large subunit ribosomal RNA", at positions 2544 to 2703 of the family's 2987-position model. Lineage: Eukaryota; Metazoa; Arthropoda; Insecta; Diptera; Culicidae. The record is from RNAcentral.